RNAcentral lists this ribosomal RNA (1158 nucleotides) under Salmonella enterica. Its description in RNAcentral is "partial 23S ribosomal RNA". It matches the Rfam family "Bacterial large subunit ribosomal RNA", at positions 1 to 1191 of the family's 2925-position model. The record is from RNAcentral. Lineage: Bacteria; Pseudomonadati; Pseudomonadota; Gammaproteobacteria; Enterobacterales; Enterobacteriaceae.
GGGUUGUGAGGUUAAGCGACUAAGCGUACACGGUGGAUGCCCUGGCAGUCAGAGGCGAUGAAGGACGUGCUAAUCUGCGAUAAGCGCCGGUAAGGUGAUAUGAACCGUUAUAACCGGCGAUUUCCGAAUGGGGAAACCCAGUGUGACUCGUCACACUAUCAUUAACUGAAUCCAUAGGUUAAUGAGGCGAACCGGGGGAACUGAAACAUCUAAGUACCCCGAGGAAAAGAAAUCAACCGAGAUUCCCCCAGUAGCGGCGAGCGAACGGGGAGGAGCCCAGAGCCUGAAUCAGCAUGUGUGUUAGUGGAAGCGUCUGGAAAGGCGCGCGAUACAGGGUGACAGCCCCGUACACAAAAGCGCAUGUGCUGUGAGCUCGAUGAGUAGGGCGGGACACGUGGUAUCCUGUCUGAAUAUGGGGGGACCAUCCUCCAAGGCUAAAUACUCCUGACUGACCGAUAGUGAACCAGUACCGUGAGGGAAAGGCGAAAAGAACCCCGGCGAGGGGAGUGAAAAAGAACCUGAAACCGUGUACGUACAAGCAGUGGGAGCACCCUUUGGGGUGUGACUGCGUACCUUUUGUAUAAUGGGUCAGCGACUUAUAUUCUGUAGCAAGGUUAACCGAAUAGGGGAGCCGGAGGGAAACCGAGUCUUAACCGGGCGUUAAGUUGCAGGGUAUAGACCCGAAACCCGGUGAUCUAGCCAUGGGCAGGUUGAAGGUUGGGUAACACUAACUGGAGGACCGAACCGACUAAUGUUGAAAAAUUAGCGGAUGACCUGUGGCUGGGGGUGAAAGGCCAAUCAAACCGGGAGAUAGCUGGUUCUCCCCGAAAGCUAUUUAGGUAGCGCCUCGUGAACUCAUCUCCGGGGGUAGAGCACUGUUUCGGCUAGGGGGCCAUCCCGGCUUACCAACCCGAUGCAAACUGCGAAUACCGGAGAAUGUUAUCACGGGAGACACACGGCGGGUGCUAACGUCCGUCGUGAAGAGGGAAACAACCCAGACCGCCAGCUAAGGUCCCAAAGUCAUGGUUAAGUGGGAAACGAUGUGGGAAGGCCCAGACAGCCAGGAUGUUGGCUUAGAAGCAGCCAUCAUUUAAAGAAAGCGUAAUAGCUCACUGGUCGAGUCGGCCUGCGCGGAAGAUGUAACGGGGCUAAACCAUG